UGGGUGAGUAACGACGUGGGUAACCCUGCCCUUAAGUCUGGGAUACCAUUUGGAAACAGAUGCUAAUACCGGAUAAAAAGCUACUUUCGCAUGAAAGAAGUUUAAAAAAGGCGGCGUAAGCUGUCGCUAAAGGAUGGACCUGCGAUGCAUUAGCUAGUUGGUAAGGUAACGGCUUACCAAGGCGAUGAUGCAUAGCCGAGUUGAGAGACUGAUCGGCCACAUUGGGACUGAGACACGGCCCAAACUCCUACGGGAGGCAGCAGUAGGGAAUUUUCCACAAUGGACGCAAGUCUGAUGGAGCAACGCCGCGUGAGUGAAGAAGGUUUUCGGAUCGUAAAGCUCUGUUGUUGGUGAAGAAGGAUAGAGGUAGUAACUGGCCUUUAUUUGACGGUAAUCAACCAGAAAGUCACGGCUAACUACGUGCCAGCAGCCGCGGUAAAU
This 441-nucleotide ribosomal RNA is filed under the name uncultured Lactobacillus sp. Its description in RNAcentral is "bacterial SSU rRNA". It matches the Rfam family "Bacterial small subunit ribosomal RNA", at positions 103 to 525 of the family's 1533-position model. Lineage: Bacteria; Bacillati; Bacillota; Bacilli; Lactobacillales; Lactobacillaceae. The record is from RNAcentral.